CAACGUUGUACGGAUAACGUUAGCAAGGCUACUUCACAACGUAAAUGUGCUCUACCCCUGUCUCCCCCUCCAACUUACCCUAGUAGAGGUGAUGUCCAUCAUAACCUCCUGAAAAGCGGCUGUUUCUUCAGCUUGACGUUGGGUGGACUUUUUUCAGCCAAAGACAAUCUCCAGAGCUCAUUCAGUGUCCCAGGCCCAAGAAGAGAAGCAUCCCCACAGCAUGAUGCUGCCACCACCAUGCUGUAUGGAAGAGAUGGCCUUCAUGGGGUGUCAGGCUUGCGCAAGGGUUUAAAUUAAUCGGCAGAUGCCGUUUUUUUGCCGGUAUCAGUUGAAGUUUUCCAGCAGAUUAAAAUAUCAAUGGCCAGAUGUCAAAUGAAUAAAUAAAUAGAUUAAUAGCAUAUUAUUAAAUAGCCUAAUAUUGGGUGACACAUAUGAUCUGUUG
Long non-coding RNA from Esox lucius (northern pike), 442 nucleotides. RefSeq lists it as uncharacterized. The record is from RefSeq and is a predicted model, not a curated record. Lineage: Eukaryota; Metazoa; Chordata; Actinopteri; Esociformes; Esocidae. The transcript is spliced from 4 exons.